RNAcentral lists this transfer-messenger RNA (397 nucleotides) under pig gut metagenome. It matches the Rfam family "transfer-messenger RNA". Rfam says of the family: Bacterial tmRNA, also known as 10Sa RNA or SsrA, is named for its dual tRNA and mRNA-like properties. The record is from RNAcentral.
GGGGAUGUUUUGGUUUUGACAGCAUUGAUGUCGGAUAGUAAGCACGUCGGGCGCUGUGGGCCGGCCCGUUAAUCCCGAUCCUCAAAAAUUCAGUUGGCAACAACAACUACGCACUCGCUGCCUAAUUGACCAAGUCAUUUAGCUUAAUCCGCAUCGCCUAGGCUGCGAUGCCGACGAGUAUCCCGCGGAACUUUAUGCCUGCUAUGUUCCGGCCACGGGGUAUCAUUCAAGCGGGACGCACAGACCUGACUCGUCUAAGGUCUGCCAAGAUUCAGACGAUAAGCCUGCGGUGGCCUGCCUUCCGGCAGCCACGGGUCGAAAAUCAAAGAAAGGAUAAGCGUGUAGAAAGCUACCUGGUGCGAUGUUUGGACGGCGGUUCGAGUCCGCCCAUCUCCAC